CGGACGGGUGAGUAAUGUCUGGGAAACUGCCCGAUGGAGGGGGAUAACUACUGGAAACGGUAGCUAAUACCGCAUAACGUCGCAAGACCAAAGAGGGGGACCUUCGGGCCUCUUGCCAUCGGAUGUGCCCAGAUGGGAUUAGCUAGUGGUGGGGUAACGGCUCACCUAGGCGACGAUCCCUAGCUGGUCUGAGAGGAUGACCAGCCACACUGGAACUGAGACACGGUCCAG
This 231-nucleotide ribosomal RNA is filed under the name uncultured bacterium. Its description in RNAcentral is "partial 16S ribosomal RNA". It matches the Rfam family "Bacterial small subunit ribosomal RNA", at positions 99 to 334 of the family's 1533-position model. The record is from RNAcentral.